Molecule: ribosomal RNA, 1524 nt
Filed under: Triticum aestivum (bread wheat)
Lineage: Eukaryota; Viridiplantae; Streptophyta; Magnoliopsida; Poales; Poaceae
Description: partial small subunit ribosomal RNA
Source: RNAcentral
AUGAAGUCUACCAGGAACCUGUCGAGAGGGGACGGGCGGCGGCUGGGGAAUGCGUCGCUCAUCGCCUUCAUGCUCGCGUCCCUCGUCCUGCUCUCCGUCAUCAGGACGAGGCUCUCCCCCAUGGAGAAGACAGGGGACGCCAUCAAAGCAGAGGAGAGGCAGGGGAUGAACAAGGGAAGCGUCAAGAUGGAGGUCGCUCAUGAAGCUGUGGUCACAACUCCGGAUUCAGCUGCGGAGGAGGAGGAGGAGGAGGAAGAAACUCCGCCCAUACCUGCCGACACGUCGACCGGGGGUGGCGUGAGCGUGCCCGCGCCCGUGAGCACAAACACCACGCCCGUCCCCGUCGCUGUCAUAGACCGCCAGGGCAAGCCGGUGUGCUACGAGUCGGGCCGGCGGUCGGACACGUGCGAGGCCGCCGGCGACGUGCGCGUGCAGGGCCGCAGCCAGACCAUCCAGGUCCGGCCGCUGGACCGGGAAUGGAAGGUGAAGCCGUACUGCCGGAAGCAGGACGCCUACGCGCUGUCGCACGUCAAGGAGUGGACCCUCCGGCCGCUCUCCGGCGGCGGCCCGCAUUGCACGGUCAACAGCUCCGCGACGGCCUUCGUGCUCUCCACCGGCGGGUUCACCGGCAACCUGUUCCACGACUACACGGACGUGCUCGUCCCGGCGUUCAUCACGGCGCACCGGUUCCGCGGCGAGGUCCAGUUCCUGGUGAGCACCUUCAAGUCGUGGUGGACCAACAGGUACCUGGAGAUCUUCCAGCGGCUGAGCAAGUACGAGGUGAUCGACAUCGACAACGACGACGAGGUCCGGUGCUACGGGAGCGUGGUGGUCGGGCCGACGUUCCACAAGGAGCUGGGCGUGGACGCGUCCAAGACGCCGACGGGGGCGUCGAUGGUGGACUUCCGCGCGAUGCUGCGGGGCGCGUUCGGGCUGUCGCGCGCGGCGGCCGAGCCGAGCGGCGACCGGUGGGACAUCCGGCGCCGGCCGCGGCUCCUCAUCAUCUCCCGCAAGAACUCGCGCGCCUUCCUGAACGAGCGCGCCAUGGCGGACAUGGCCAUGAGCCUCGGGUACGACGUGCGCGUGGGCGAGCCGGACACCAACACGGAGGUGUCCAGGUUCGCCCGGCUGGUGAACUCGGCGGACGUGAUGGUGGGCGUGCACGGCGCGGGGCUGACCAACAUGCUCUUCCUCCCCACCGGCGCCGUGCUGAUCCAGGUGAUCCCCUACGGCGGGCUGGAGUGGCUCGCCCGCGGCACCUUCGAGGAGCCGUCCAAGGACAUGCAGCUGCACUACAUUGGGUACAAGAUCCAGCUCGACGAGACGACGCUGAGCGAGCAGUACCCCAAAGACCACCCGGUGCUCACAGACCCGCUCUCCAUCCACAAGCAAGGGUGGGAGGCGCUCAAGACGGUGUACCUGGAGAAGCAGAACGUGAGGCCGCACCUGGGCAGGCUCAAGCUCACGUUCCUGGAGGCGCUCAAGCUGCUGCCCCAUGGACGCCAGGCCAAGGCCAACAACUGA